UUCUAGAGCUAAUACAUGCUGUUAAGCCCAACUUAUGGAAGGGCCGUAUUUAUUAGAUAACAGACCAAUAUUCUUCGUGUCUAUUGUGGUGAAUCAUAGUAACUAAUCGGAUCGUAUGGGCUAGUCCCUCGACAAACCAUUCAAGUUUCUGCCCCAUCAGCUUUCGAUGGUAGUGUAUUGGACUACCAUGGCUUUCACGGGUAACGGAGGAUUAGGGUUCGAUUCCGGAGAGGGAGCCUGAGAAACGGCUACCACAUCUAAGGAAGGCAGCAGGCGCGUAAAUUACCCAAUUCUGACUCAGAGAGGUAGUG
RNAcentral lists this ribosomal RNA (311 nucleotides) under uncultured Spirotrichea. RNAcentral's name for it is "SSU rRNA". It matches the Rfam family "Eukaryotic small subunit ribosomal RNA", at positions 156 to 469 of the family's 1831-position model. Lineage: Eukaryota; Ciliophora; Spirotrichea. The record is from RNAcentral.